Small nucleolar RNA from Argiope bruennichi, 76 nucleotides. RefSeq annotates it as small nucleolar RNA SNORD24. Lineage: Eukaryota; Metazoa; Arthropoda; Arachnida; Araneae; Araneidae. The transcript has a single exon. The record is from RefSeq and is a predicted model, not a curated record.
GGCUUGUGACGAUUAUAUUUGCUACUCUUGAUAACAGAUGAUGAGACAGAUUACCACCAAGAUUUCGUCUGAAGCA